RNAcentral lists this ribosomal RNA (506 nucleotides) under uncultured bacterium. RNAcentral's name for it is "partial 16S ribosomal RNA". It matches the Rfam family "Bacterial small subunit ribosomal RNA", at positions 29 to 523 of the family's 1533-position model. The record is from RNAcentral.
AUUGAACGCUGGCGGCAGGCCUAACACAUGCAAGUCGGACGGUAGCACAGAGGAGCUUGCUCCUCGGGUGACGAGUGGCGGACGGGUGAGUAAUGUCUGGGGAUCUGCCCGAUAGAGGGGGAUAACCACUGGAAACGGUGGCUAAUACCGCAUAACGUCGCAAGACCAAAGAGGGGGACCUUCGGGCCUCUCACUAUCGGAUGAACCCAGAUGGGAUUAGCUAGUAGGCGGGGUAAUGGCCCACCUAGGCGACGAUCCCUAGCUGGUCUGAGAGGAUGACCAGCCACACUGGAACUGAGACACGGUCCAGACUCCUACGGGAGGCAGCAGUGGGGAAUAUUGCACAAUGGGCGCAAGCCUGAUGCAGCCAUGCCGCGUGUAUGAAGAAGGCCUUCGGGUUGUAAAGUACUUUCAGCGGGGAGGAAGGCGGUGAGGUUAAUAACCUUGCCGAUUGACGUUACCCGCAGAAGAAGCACCGGCUAACUCCGUGCCAGCCGCCGCCGUAA